UAGGGAAUCUUCGGCAAUGGACGGAAGUCUGACCGAGCAACGCCGCGUGAGUGAAGAAGGUUUUCGGAUCGUAAAGCUCUGUUGUAAGAGAAGAACGAGUGUGAGAGUGGAAAGUUCACACUGUGACGGUAUCUUACCAGAAAGGGACGGCUAACUACGUGCCAGCAGCCGCGGUAAUACGUAGGUCCCGAGCGUUGUCCGGAUUUAUUGGGCGUAAAGCGAGCGCAGGCGGUUAGAUAAGUCUGAAGUUAAAGGCUGUGGCUUAACCAUAGUAGGCUUUGGAAACUGUUUAACUUGAGUGCAAGAGGGGAGAGUGGAAUUCCAUGUGUAGCGGUGAAAUGCGUAGAUAUAUGGAGGAACACCGGUGGCGAAAGCGGCUCUCUGGCUUGUAAUGACGCUGAGGCUCGAAAGCGUGGGGAGCAAACAGGAUUAGAUACCCUGGUAGUCCACGCUGUAAACGAUGAGUGCUAGGUGUUAGACCCUUUCCGGGGUUUAGUGCCGUAGCUAACGCAUUAAGCACUCCGCCUGGGGAGUACGACCGCAAGGUUG
RNAcentral lists this ribosomal RNA (549 nucleotides) under uncultured bacterium. Its description in RNAcentral is "bacterial SSU rRNA". It matches the Rfam family "Bacterial small subunit ribosomal RNA", at positions 355 to 896 of the family's 1533-position model. The record is from RNAcentral.